Molecule: ribosomal RNA, 570 nt
Filed under: uncultured Pseudomonas sp.
Lineage: Bacteria; Pseudomonadati; Pseudomonadota; Gammaproteobacteria; Pseudomonadales; Pseudomonadaceae
Description: bacterial SSU rRNA
Rfam family: Bacterial small subunit ribosomal RNA
Source: RNAcentral
GAGUUUGAUUCUGGCUCAUGAUUGAACGCUGGCGGCAUGCCUAACACAUGCAAGUCGAACGGAAACGAUGGAAGCUUGCUUCCAGGCGUCGAGUGGCGGACGGGUGAGUAAUACUUAGGAAUCUGCCCAGUAGUGGGGGACAACUCGGGGAAACUCGAGCUAAUACCGCAUACGCACUACGGUGGAAAGUGGAGGAUCUUCGGACUUCACGCUAUUGGAUGAGCCUAAGUCGGAUUAGCUUGUUGGUAGGGUAACAGCCUACCAAGGCGACGAUCCGUAGCUGGUCUGAGAGGACGAUCAGCCACACUGGGACUGAGACACGGCCCAGACUCCUACGGGAGGCAGCAGUGGGGAAUAUUGGACAAUGGGCGCAAGCCUGAUCCAGCAAUGCCGCGUGUGUGAAGAAGGCCUGCGGGUUGUAAAGCACUUUCAGUAGAGAAGAAAAGCUCAUGGUUAAUACCUGUGAGUCUUGACGUUACCUACAGAAGAAGCACCGGCUAACUCCGUGCCAGCAGCCGCGGUAAUACGGAGGGUGCGAGCGUUAAUCGGAAUUACUGGGCGUAAAGCGCG